CAGCCGCCGCGGUAAUUCCGGCACCGCGAGUGGUCGGGGUGAUUAUUGGGCCUAAAGCGUCCGUAGCCGGGCUGGUAAGUCCUCCGGGAAAUCUGGUCGCUUAACGAUCAGACUUCCGGAGGAUACUGCUGGCCUAGGGACCGGGAGAGGCCGAGGGUAUUCCCGGGGUAGGGGUGAAAUCCUGUAAUCCCGGGAGGACCACCUGUGGCGAAGGCGCUCGGCUGGAACGGGUCCGACGGUGAGGGACGAAGGCCAGGGGAGCGAACCGGAUUAGAUACCCGGGUAGUCCUGGCUGUAAACGAUGCGGACUAGGUGUCGGGCAAGCUAAGGGCUUGUCCGGUGCCGCAGGGAAGCCGUUAAGUCCGCCGCCUGGGGAGUACGGCCGCAAGGCUGAAACUUAAAGGAAUUGGCGGG
RNAcentral lists this ribosomal RNA (414 nucleotides) under uncultured microorganism. RNAcentral describes it as "bacterial SSU rRNA". It matches the Rfam family "Archaeal small subunit ribosomal RNA", at positions 459 to 872 of the family's 1478-position model. The record is from RNAcentral.